Molecule: ribosomal RNA, 437 nt
Filed under: uncultured Oscillospiraceae bacterium
Lineage: Bacteria; Bacillati; Bacillota; Clostridia; Eubacteriales; Oscillospiraceae
Description: bacterial SSU rRNA
Rfam family: Bacterial small subunit ribosomal RNA
Source: RNAcentral
ACGGAAGGCAGCAGUCGGGAAUAUUGCGCAAUGGAGGAAACUCUGACGCAGUGACGCCGCGUAUAGGAAGAAGGUUUUCGGAUUGUAAACUAUUGUCGUUAGGGAAGAAAAAAAUGACAGUACCUAAGGAGGAAGCUCCGGCUAACUACGUGCCAGCAGCCGCGGUAAUACGUAGGGAGCAAGCGUUAUCCGGAUUUAUUGGGUGUAAAGGGUGCGUAGACGGAAAAGCAAGUUAGUUGUGAAAUCCCUCGGCUUAACUGAGGAACUGCAACUAAAACUACUUUCCUUGAGUGCAGGAGGGGAAAGCGGAAUUCCUAGUGUAGCGGUGAAAUGCGUAGAUAUUAGGAGGAACACCGGUGGCGAAGGCGGCUUUCUGGACUGUAACUGACGUUGAGGCACGAAAGUGUGGGGAGCAAACAGGAUUAGAUACCCUGGUA